RNAcentral lists this ribosomal RNA (392 nucleotides) under uncultured bacterium. RNAcentral describes it as "partial 16S ribosomal RNA". It matches the Rfam family "Bacterial small subunit ribosomal RNA", at positions 523 to 918 of the family's 1533-position model. The record is from RNAcentral.
AUACGGAGGAUCCGAGCGUUAUCCGGAUUUAUUGGGUUUAAAGGGUGCGCAGGCGGCCAUUUAAGUCAGCGGUUAAAUCGUGGGGCUCAACCCCAUUCUGCCGUUGAUACUGGGUGGCUUGAUUGCGGUCGAGGUUGGCGGAAUUCGUUGUGUAGCGGUGAAAUGCAUAGAUAUGACGAAGAACACCGAUUGCGUAGGCAGCUGCCCAGCCCGCAAAGGACGGUCAUGCUCGAAAGUGCGGGGAUCGAGCAGGAUUAGAUGCACUGGUAGCCCGCACAGUAAACGAUGAAUACUUGAUUUCGGCGAUAGAAUGUCGGAGGCAAAGCGAAAGCGAUAAGUAUUCCACCUGGGGAGUACGCCGGCACCGGUGAAACUCAAAGGGAUUGACGGGG